AGCCACGCUGAGUGCGCUGGCAGUCCAGUAGUGUCGGCGCUGCGCUGCGCCCGUCCCCGCCGUGUGUCUGACACGUAGCCGCGCGACUAGUGAGUGUGAAGGUGCUGGCAUGCGGUGCUACGAGGUGAUGCGCGGGUGGUGCGUGCGCUGGGCCGGCGGGCCGCGCUCGCGCCUGCGCUGGCUGGCCGCGCUGCUGUGCUGGGCGGCGCUGGCGCUGGUGGCCCUGCCGCGCCUGCAGCCGCCGCCGCGCCGCGCGCCGCCCGCGCCCCCGCGCGCCUGCUGCUGCAGUCCGAGGCGGCCGGCUCCACGCCCGCGCCCGCCGCGCCCACGGCGCUGCCCGCCACGGACGCGCGCGUGCUCUCCGAGGAGCAGCUGCGCGCCGACGCCGAGCGGCGCCUGCCUUCGCUGCCGCUCACCUACUGGCACAAGCACAAAGACGACAAAAACAAGUUCCUCAAGAAGAAAGACUGCGCGCCGUUCCCCUCCAUCUACGAGCUGGAGUUCCACAACACGUACUGGCAGUCGUUCCACUCGAGCCAGGGCGUGUUCCACAUAUACGGCGCGUACCUGGACGCGCGCAACACGUCGCGCCUCGGGCCCGCCGUGCGCCUGCUGGCCGUGCACGACCGCAUCCAGCCGACCGUGGUGACGCACUGCCAGCUGUGGUUCGAGGAGAUGGAGGCGCCCGUGGUGGUGCACGUGCUGGAGUACAAGUACGUGUGGAACAGCAAGUGGGGCAACUACCGCAACCACGUGCUGCACCCGUACCUGAUGGCCUGCGUGCUGCCGGCCGAGGUGCGCCACCUGGUGCCCGCCUCCGUGUCGCUGGUGGAGAACGCCUGCGACCGCGCCACCAACAACCUGCGCGUACACUUCGACAUGCCCAAGCCGCCCGCGCAGCGCAAGGACUUUGCUGUUUGCGUCAAGGGCUUGGACUUUUUGCACGAGGACCUUUCCGUGCGACUCGUGGAGUGGAUAGAACUAGUCCGCCUACUCGGAGCCGACAAAAUAUUCUUUUACGAGCUGCAGGUGCAUCCUAACAUCACGAAGGUGUUAGACCACUACGUGCAGCAAGGGACGGUGACAGUGACGCCCGUGACGCUGCCGGGCGGGCAGCCCAACCUGCCCGGGCUGCAGCACAUGUACCUCAAGAAGAAGCUGACGCACAAGCGGCAGAUGGAGCUGAUCCCGUACAACGACUGCCUGUACCGGCACAUGUACGAGUACCGCUGGCUGGCGCUGCUCGACAUCGACGAGGUGAUCGUCCCGCUGGAGGACGGGGACUGGGCGUCGCUGAUGAAGCGCGUGCUGCCGCUGGCCAAGCCGGCCGAGGGCAAGCCGCCGCGCUCCUCGUACCACGCCACCAACAUCUACUUCCUGGACUCGCUGGGCCACGAGCACGGCUGGGAGGAGGGCGUGCCGCACUACAUGCACAUGCUGCAGCACGUCACGCGCACGCGCAACUUCACCAAGCCCGGCCAGUACAUCAAGGCGUUCCACGAGACGGACCGCGUGCUGAGCCUGCACAACCAUUUCCCGCUGGCGUGCCUGGGCGGCGCGUGCAGCUCGUACGCCAUGGAGACCCGGCACGCGCGCCUGCAGCACUACCGCGCCGACUGCGUGGCCACGCUCAAGUCGUGCCAGGAGCUCAAGACAGACCCCGUGCGCGACGAGGCGCUGUGGCGCUGGCGCGAGCCGCUCGUGGCGCGCGUCGACGCCGUGCUGCGCGCGCUCUCCUUCCUACCGCCGCUGCCGCACCGGUGACCGCCCCCCUCCCCCUUAGUCUUAUGUAUUAAAUGCUAGUAUUAAACCUAUUUUUAUAGUUAUUGUAAUAA
Molecule: RNA transcript, 1835 nt
Organism: Spodoptera frugiperda (fall armyworm)
Lineage: Eukaryota; Metazoa; Arthropoda; Insecta; Lepidoptera; Noctuidae
Exons: 3
Source: RefSeq, a predicted model, not a curated record